This 385-nucleotide unclassified non-coding RNA is filed under the name uncultured bacterium. Its description in RNAcentral is "contains 16S-23S intergenic spacer region". The record is from RNAcentral.
UCCGAGUUGACCCCGGCAGUCUCCUAUGAGUCCUCGGCAUUACCCGCUAGCAACUAGUGACAGGGGUUUCGCUCGUUAAGGAACUUAACCCGACAUCUCACGACACGAGCUGACGACAGCCAUGCAGCAGCUGUGCACGUUUCACCCGAAGGCAGGCAACCGACUUUCACCGGCGCCAUCCGUGCAUGUCAAGCCUAGGAUAAGGUUCUUCGCGUAGCCUCGAAUUAAUCCACAUCAUCCACCGCUUGUGCGGGUCCCCGUCAAUUCCUUUGAGUUUUAAUCUUGCGACCGUACUCCCCAGGCGGUCGACUUCACGCGUUAGCUGCGGUACUAAGGAAGUCUCCUUCCCCAACACCUAGUCGACAUCGUUUAGGGCGUGGACUAC